GUAGGGGGCGAGCGUUGUCCGGAUUUACUGGGCGUAAAGCGCGUGUAGGCGGCGAUUUAAGUCGGGUGUGAAAGCCCGGGGCUCAACCCCGGGAUGCCGCCCGAGACUGGGUCGCUUGAGGCCGGAAGAGGGGAGUGGAAUUCCUGGUGUAGCGGUGAAAUGCGUAGAGAUCAGGAGGAACACCCGUGGCGAAGGCGGCUCCCUGGUCCGGUACUGACGCUGAGACGCGAAAGCGCGGGGAGCGAACGGGAUUAGAUACCCCGGUAGUCCGCGCCGUAAACGAUGGUCACUAGGUGUGCGUGGUAUCGACCCCACGCGUGCCGGCGCUAACGCAUUAAGUGACCCGCCUGGGGAGUACGGCCGCAAGGUUGAA
RNAcentral lists this ribosomal RNA (373 nucleotides) under uncultured bacterium. RNAcentral describes it as "bacterial SSU rRNA". It matches the Rfam family "Bacterial small subunit ribosomal RNA", at positions 527 to 898 of the family's 1533-position model. The record is from RNAcentral.